CUCACCUCAAUCAGGCUGCAGACUCUUUUGCAUUCAGACUCUCCUGUGUAUUUUUCUUCCCCACUCCACAGGCCGGUAACACUGCUACCCGUUUCCCCUGAGCUGCGCCUAAGCAUUCUCCAUCCCUCGGCAUGGUUGUCCAAAACCUGCCGACUCCAUCAACUGCAGCAAGCAAAGCCAACCCUCAGCUCCACAAGACCGAGCCGCUCUGAUCAUCACGUAGGCAUAUUCCACAGGUGCCUGGCUGUUUUCUCCUUCAGACUACUGGGCGAGCCGGAGAGGCGGUGCAGUCUCCUCUACUAGAGAUUUUUAAAAGCAGGUUAGACAGGCAUCUGCCAAUGGAUGGUCUAGGUAUACUGGAUUUUGCCUUAAGAUGCGGCAAGAUGAUCUCUUGAGGCUCCUCCCAGCCCUGCAUUUCUAUGAUGCUCCAGUUCCCAGUUGCCUCCAAAUACAGCCUGGGGAGGAAGCAGAGCCAUCCAGUGACUGCCAGCCUGAUGGCAAAGCGCCCAACACAGCUGGGAACUGGGAACCAAGCUGGUCAGCUGCAAGGAUUUGUACGGCACCCUCAAAAUACCUCCCCGGCUCUGUUGGAUGAUUCUGGAGGCCCCAGGUCCAAGCAAACAUUAUCUGACAGAAGCACUGCUGUGAAUGCACCUGCAUGCACAGUUUAGCUGUGGCCAUUUGUUAGGGAGGAUGUCAUCGCCGCAGGAGUUCACCACUCGUAGCCUAACUGGAGUGGCCAACCAUCUUUUUUCAGAAGUACCUUGCUUGGCACUUAAUAUCCCCUGACCUGCAGGUUCCCAAGCAAGGAUCACAUAACAGGUGGGUGUCUGCACCAUGGUGGGCACAGCCUCCAAGAGAUAAAUAAGCAUUGUCCUGAAGUUUUCAUAGUUAUUUUUCCAUCUCCUCAGUUCAGAGGUGGCUAACAUGGGUCUGUUUGAUACCUAUCUAUGGGGGCCAGGAUCUGGGAUUCAGGGCAGCUUUCUGCCUAUUUUUUGCAAGAACAUGUAUCUCCUUUGGAUGAUUGUUCAGGGGGCUCCUGAUACCUGCAGAGAGUCCCUGGUGUCUUACCUUCCUGACGGCAGAGAGGAAGCACCAAGCCACUUAGAGCGCCUGUUUGCAGCCUCCCUUCCCAGCACACGUGGCUGCUGCUGCAUCUACCUCUUGCCAGAGCUGUUGGUUAAACAGAACGUGAACAAUUUGAGAGCCCUUCCCAGACGGACCGGGGAGCAACCAGCUCAUGCUCCAGCACCCUCCCUCCCCACACCAUGGCUUCCCUUCUCCAAACCCACCCCUUACUGACCACCGUGAUCAUUGUACAGCUGGGGUGCAGACCCCCAAGCAAGCAUUAAUACAGAAGCCCGUAAUGUGCCGGUGACAACAUUGACCUUACACCCACCCAUGCCAGCAACAGAACCCACUGGGAAAAAACCUACCCAGCCACCAUACACAAUGCACCCUCCAAGGACUUCCUUCUCCGCAAGCGGAGUUGGAUGGAACCCAAUUUCCUGUUCAUCCAGCCAGCCACAUUUCCCAGCAUUGCACAAGGGCUCAGUGUCAAGUAGGAUGCCCAGGAAGGGUUAAUUUGUCCAAGGCAGCCUCUUGCACAAGUGGUUUGCAAGGGUGCCCUCAGGGGUAAGAGCAGCCAAUUAAAAUUUGCCCUGAUGAAGUCAUGCUGGUAAAUGGAUACCCUGCUGGGGCAGGCUGGUGGGUGGAGUUUCAGUGGAACCCACAGAACCAGAAGUCGCCCACCCCGGUUUGCUCAGGCAGUUUCAAUUAAGCUCAAAGGAAUUACACCUUUAAGUUUAAUACAAUUAGCAGAUCUUUGUCUAGCUUGACUGUGGACUUAUAAUAACUUUGAUCCCUGUGUGAAAGGCCUGUCUAAUAAUACCUCGCUCUUACAUUAUGCUUUGCAUCGGUAGAUCACGCAGUGCUUUACAAAGGAAGUCAGUUUAACACUCCCCAUUUUACACACGGGGAAACCGAGGCACAGAGAAGGGUGAGUUUGGCCAAACUCACUCAGUUGGUCAGUGGCAGCGCCCAGGUCUUCUGCAUCCCUGGCCACUUUCUUCCUUUGUUUCCAUGGACCAAGGAUUUGAGUGGUGCGUGGCACCAGGGUGCCUCAAACAUGGAAUCACAUUUUAAUUGAGCGAUUACCUCCUGGACACCUGCCUUCAAUUCACCAGACCAUUGUAUGAGCUAGACCACUUGCUUACAUGGAAAAGUCAUAUUAGGAAAGUAGGCGAUGUAUUUUUAACCAUCUGUAAUACAAUUCAGCAACUGGAAACAAGGAAGAAAGCCAACGCCAUGCAACCAGGCUGUCCACAAGCAAGUAAUCCACAGACAAUCUGGGGACCCCUGUAUACCAGCAUUUUUGAUACAGCAAGAGAUCUUGUAUUGAGAAAGAGUAGCCAAGAGCCUUGUAUCAGAGGCAGCUGCAUGAAAGCCUACGUAUGGAGUAAAAGAGCAGUCCUUGACUUGAACCCAAUAGGAAGGCUGACAACCCCAGUGGCACCAGACAUGACAAAAACAUCCCUUAAACCAAUGUACUGCUUAUGCCUGCAAAUACCCAGGGCUGUAGGUGAGCUGACUUCCAGGCAAGCUUGGCACAUGGGGCUGGAAUGCUUUUGAAAAGCUUUCCAAGGGGGCAGGGGGGUCACAGAAGGCCCUGCUAGAAGCUGAGCUGUUUAGAAAGUCUGGCCCUGACUGGGUGCUUAUCCACAUGAAAUUCUGCCCUCCCAGCUACAUUUUCAAACGCAGGUUCCUGUUGUGCCUGCAAAUGCCUCGCUUUGUGCAUAAAUUGGGUAACUCUGCACCUACAGUCUCAUUUGCAUGUGCAGUUUCCCAAUUUGUGCACAGAAAAGCCUGUUUCCACAUGCAGCUGCAGGGGGUGGGUGUGAUGGAUGUGUGUGCAAAUUUUGCAAGCACAAGGGAGGCCUUUGCUUUUGAGAACAUAGCUGCUAAUAUUUCGCUGUGACUGUAGGAGCAGCGAGCAGCCUCUCGCAUGCAUUUUUCUUGCGACUAUCAGCCAUUUCCAGAGAGCCAAUCUUUGCUUUUGUUGUAACCUUUGAAGUUACAGUUUGACUCUCACAUUGUCAUCACCGAUCUUAAAUGCCGAGUCCAUCAGUCAAUGGCUGAAGUGGGUGGCAGAGGACAGGGGAUGCCUGGGAUGCGUUGAUGUAGUCUCCAUCAUUCUCACUGAAUGCACUUCUGAAAGGCACUUGAAAUACUGUGAUGGGGGUGGGACAAGAGUCUAUAUAAAACAGAACAUAAUUCUGGGACACGUGCUCAUCCUGCUGUCAGCAUUCCUCAAGCAAGACACUAGUUUGUUAUUCAUUGGGAGGGUCUUGCGAGUGAAAUCAUCAGGUAUUGCACCUUCGCAAGCUACACGGAGUCCAACCGGGUCUCCCAGGUAGACACCAGGUUGUUAGGGCUGUGCUACAAUAACUGAGUACUUGGGAAUUUCUGUCUCGUUGCCCAGUAUGCUUUGCACCCAGGUUCUUUGCACAAUUCGUUCUCAAGAACAGUCUGAUCUUGUUGAAUGAAUAUUCAGGCUCAGGAUUGUUGCAUACAGGAGGAGCUCCAGGGUCAAGAAAGUCCAGAGAUUGAUUGAAACAUGUAAUAAAAGGCAGGUUCCAUGAGAUGGUAGAAAUUCUUCACUUUGGCAGCCGCAGAGUCGAAUCAAAGGCUGGAAAUAAAGGGGACAUGCUCAUA
Molecule: long non-coding RNA, 3714 nt
Organism: Alligator mississippiensis (American alligator)
Lineage: Eukaryota; Metazoa; Chordata; Crocodylia; Alligatoridae
Exons: 2
Source: RefSeq, a predicted model, not a curated record